Molecule: ribosomal RNA, 464 nt
Filed under: uncultured bacterium
Lineage: Bacteria
Description: partial 16S ribosomal RNA
Rfam family: Bacterial small subunit ribosomal RNA
Source: RNAcentral
GACGAACGCUGGCGGCGUGCUUAACACAUGCAAGUCGAACGGAAAGGCCCUGCUUGCUGGGUACUCGAGUGGCGAACGGGUGAGUAACACGUGGGUGAUCUGCCCUGCACUUCGGGAUAAGCCUGGGAAACUGGGUCUAAUACCGGAUAGGAGCCAUUUUUAGUGUGGUGGUUGGAAAGUUUUUUCGGUGUAGGAUGAGCGCACGGCCUAUCAGCUUGUUGGUGGGGUAAUGGCCUACCAAGGCGGCGACGGGUAGCCGGCCUGAGAGGGUGGACGGCCACAUUGGGACUGAGAUACGGCCCAGACUCCUACGGGAGGCAGCAGUGGGGAAUAUUGCACAAUGGGCGCAAGCCUGAUGCAGCGACGCCGCGUGGGGGAUGACGGCCUUCGGGUUGUAAACUCCUUUCGCUAGGGACGAAGCUUUUGUGACGGUACCUAGAUAAGAAGCACCGGCUAACUACGUG